Molecule: ribosomal RNA, 517 nt
Filed under: Clostridioides difficile
Lineage: Bacteria; Bacillati; Bacillota; Clostridia; Peptostreptococcales; Peptostreptococcaceae
Description: bacterial SSU rRNA
Rfam family: Bacterial small subunit ribosomal RNA
Source: RNAcentral
ACAAGUAGCGGAGCAUGUGGUUUAAUUCGAAGCAACGCGAAGAACCUUACCUAAGCUUGACAUCCCAAUGACAUCUCCUUAAUCGGAGAAUUCCCUUCGGGGACAUUGGUGACAGGUGGUGCAUGGUUGUCGUCAGCUCGUGUCGUGAGAUGUUGGGUUAAGUCCCGCAACGAGCGCAACCCUUGUCUUUAGUUGCCAUCAUUAAGUUGGGCACUCUAGAGAGACUGCCAGGGAUAACCUGGAGGAAGGUGGGGAUGACGUCAAAUCAUCAUGCCCCUUAUGCUUAGGGCUACACACGUGCUACAAUGGGUAGUACAGAGGGUUGCCAAGCCGUAAGGUGGAGCUAAUCCCUUAAAGCUACUCUCAGUUCGGAUUGUAGGCUGAAACUCGCCUACAUGAAGCUGGAGUUACUAGUAAUCGCAGAUCAGAAUGCUGCGGUGAAUGCGUUCCCGGGUCUUGUACACACCGCCCGUCACACCACGGGAGUUGGAGACGCCCGAAGCCGAUUAUCUAACCU